Long non-coding RNA from Anguilla rostrata (American eel), 2522 nucleotides. RefSeq lists it as uncharacterized. The transcript is spliced from 2 exons. NCBI's taxonomy places the organism in Eukaryota, Metazoa, Chordata, Actinopteri, Anguilliformes, Anguillidae. The record is from RefSeq and is a predicted model, not a curated record.
CUGAGGUUGCCGGGGGGAGAGACAGCGGAGCUAAUGACUGCCCUAACAGAUUCAUUCACCAUUAGCAGAGCAGUUAGGCAGCCUCAGGAGCAGUUUGCUACCGUAUGAAAUAGGUAGCGUCAAAUGUUUGUGCAUGUGGAUUGGGAAAUACUCUGUAUGAGGGAAACAGAAGGGCCAAUGAUAUCCUGCCAAAACCCACUCUUUUUUCUGGAUCUAAAUGGCCCAAACUCUUUAUUAUCAUUCAUGUUAAGUGUGUCAUCAAUACACUAGCAGGUCAUAACAUGCUGUUUUAUAGUGUUACUGCUCAGGUCCCACUAGAAUUAAACUGCCCUAAGUAUAAAAUAUAUGAAGUUUCCAAACUUAAGGCAAACCUCCAGCACCUAAGCAAUUCCAGAUUUUCUGCCCUGCAACCUACUGGAUUGCAAAGCAGGCCAUGUGGACCAGGGAGCCUGAAUCAGUCCUCCGGGGUUGGGCCAGGCCUUGGCAGGAAACACAGACAGAGGGAGAUGCAUGAUAGUCCAGUUGAAACUCAAAAAUACCCCACAGAAACUUCUGUGCUCUUGCAACACUUCUGUGUCUCAACAGCAGUCUUGAUGCUCAGCAAUGUGGCUGUGGGUAGGAAUUGAAUGAAAAAUAACAGCAGGUACUCAGUAGGCCACCUUCUCAUGAGAUACUAUCAAUUCUCACUGCCUUUCCUGUUUCUGCUAAGGAGCACUCACUACUGUGACACCUGCAGACAGCAGGGUACGAAACCAGGAACCUGUUCCGCUGGAUUUCUUCACAUCCAGCCCCUCCCCCGCAGGCCGUGGCCUGGCAGCAAUGCCAGCCAGUCGUUUCAGGCACGCUCCCAAGCACGUGAGGAGGGUGGAGCUCCAGUCUCUGGGCUUCAGCAUGGAAAACAGGGGCAUCCGGAGGGCACAGCGCUGAACCAGGGCCGACCACCUCACUAUGCCUUCGGCAGGAAAAGCCAGCGUGCUCAUUAAUCUGCAGUAGUGCAGAGCUCAGCUCUCCUGUCCGUCUGCACCAGUCACACUCGCUGCCUUUGUAAUCUCACUUCUUAGCAGUGCAUUUCAACAUGGGCAUCCCUGCCGUGUCAGUUCAUAAUCCCAAACUGAACACAGGGGGAUUGCCACAAAGCAGAAGCACUGUGGUCCUUUGUGCUGUGAACAGCUACGCUGACACGUUCUUCGCAUGCCUUUUUCAAAUCUGUUAACCCAGGCACUCUACCACUCCCAAGUCCUGAGAGAGAUCUAUCAUUUGAAAAACAUGACUACUUUUGAUGCUUGACUAAAUUUCCCUAAUGUAUAUAUAUAUAUAUAUAUAUAUAUACACAUUAGGGAAAUAUAUUCAGAAAAUAAAGAAAUGCUAAGUCUAAAGCGUCACUAUAAAUUAGAAUUUAAUAUAAUUCAGACUGGUGGAGUCAGGGGUUUAGCAAGUGGUUUGGUGAUGCCAUUCAGAAUUUGGUUCUUUAUCAGUAUACAUUUGCUGAAGAAUAAUCCCAUUUAUCACUCUACUGUACAUCUCUUUAUAUCUGUUUUGUCCUGUUAUGAAGGUAAUUUGGGGAUUGUAUUGUCAUUACUGCAUUUCAGUGGCUAGGAGUGAGAGAAAAGGGGCAAUGGAUAAUGUUAUAGAUACAUAGGAUCAAAUGUCAUUGGUUAUUAUCUGUUGUGGUCCAGUAAAUGCAUUGAAGGGGUUUAGGUUAUAAAUAGAAGCUUUUUGCCCUAUGGCUGCUUUUCUGUUUCUGUUUGUGAGGUUGUGUCAGCAAUGCUGACCCUUGUGUCGUACCAGACGGGAGGGAGAGGGCUUGAGUAAUUAGCACUUCAGCUGGUGGGAUAUGAAGUUCUCAGUUAAAAAAAUAUAAUUUAUUUUGUUGUGAUCAAUUUACUGUUACUUACCUUGUUUGCAAAUAUCAUGGCAGUGAAAGCUCUAUCAGGGGAAUAUUUCACAAAGCGGGGUCAUUAAUCGGGAUACAGUGUUUCCUUUACCACACUGAAAAUGAAUGCCUUUCUGAUCCUGCGAUACUCUGGUUUCCACAGGGUCAUAACAGAGCAGAAAACUCCAGGGCAGCUCACAGAACCACAUUUUUCUCUCACCUGUUUCAACAGCGACCUCACAGGAGAUGCUGGAUGCAUUUCACAGAACACCAGAGGGUAUGCUUAGGUUCAGUUUGUAGUAUGGGUGGGGUCCUUGGAAUGAAAGCUACACAACCAGAUCUAAUCAGGAACAUCCAUGCAAAAAGAGCUCCCCAAAAUGGGAUAAGCAGUCUGCUUGUGAAGAAAUGGUGCAUAACUCCUAGUCUCCUGAACACAGCUGUCAGGAAUUAUGACUGCACUGAAAUAAUAACGGCAUGUCACAGUUUUCAUUCAGGAAACAGAGUGUUUUGCAUUUAUUUUAGCAGCCCUGAAGUGUUUUGUAACAUAACAAACCUGUUUGCAAGUGUCACCUUUCAUGGAACUCCUUCCAAUCCCCUCCUUUUCCAAGCUGUAAUCCUUCAUUUUUCAUAUUAAAAAUGACAUAUUUGA